Molecule: long non-coding RNA, 979 nt
Filed under: Brassica rapa (field mustard)
Lineage: Eukaryota; Viridiplantae; Streptophyta; Magnoliopsida; Brassicales; Brassicaceae
Description: long non-coding RNA (BRAP_LNC006030)
Source: RNAcentral
UUUGUUUUAUGAAUAAGUAAAAGUGGAAAUUGUGGUUUGGAAUAUAUGAAUUAGAAGAUAAGGAAUUGUGGUUUGAAAUGAAAAUAAAGAUAGGGUUUGGAAUAUAUGAAGUAGAAGAUAAGGAAUAUGGGGUUUGGGGUUUCGGAUUUUAGGGAUUUAAACGGAAUACUCGUUAAUUCCUCGUAUGUUGACGUUGAACUUACAACGAAUUCCUCGUUUAUUCCACGUAGGAGAGAUUCGUCGUAAAUACCACGUAGGACAAAUUCGUCGUAAAUACCACGUAGGAGAGAUUCGUCGUAAAUACCACGCAAAAUAAAUGAUGAACGCGGCCCACUUUAAUUCCACGUAGGACGGAAUCGUCGUAAAAACCACGUAACCAAAAUCGUCGUAAACACCUCGUACUGUAAAAACUAGAAAAAAAAAGAAAAAGAAGAAAUAUACUCGAUUUUGUGUAGUUUGUUUUAUGAAUAAGGUAAUGUGAGAGUUUGUUUUAUGAAUAAGGUAAUGUGGGAGUUUGUUUUGUGAAUAAGAAAAUGUGGGAGUUUGUUUUAUGAAUAAGUAAAAGUGAGAAUUGUGGUUUGGAAUAUAUGAAUUAGAAGAUAGGGAAUUGUGGUUUGGAAUGAAAAUAAAGAUAGGGUUUGGAAUAUAUGAAGUAGAAGAUAAGGAAUAUGGGGUUUGGGGUUUGGGGUUUCGGAUUUUAGGGAUUUAAACGGAAUACUCGUUAAUUCCUCGUAUGUUGACGUCGAACUUACGACGAAUUCCUCGUUUAUUCCACGUAGGAGAGAUUCGUCGUAAAUACCACGUAGGACAAAUUCGUCGUAAAUACCACGUAGGACAAAUUCCUCGUUUAUUCCACGUAGGAGAGAUUCGUCGUAAAUACCACGUAGGACAAAUUCGUCGUAAAUACCACGUAACCAAAAUCGUCGUAAACACCUCGUACUGUAAAAACUAGAAAAAAAAAGAAAAAGAAGAAAUAUAC